AUGGUAGUUCGAUUCCGGAGGACCAAGGCACCUUCCUCCGAGGAGCUGUCGCCCGUGCGCUUCCCCGGCGGCUGGUACUUCCCCGACGCCAGCACCUCCUUCGGUGUCUCAUCGCUCGCCAUCGCCUCUGAACACCACCGCCACUCUUCACCACUCUCGCCGCCGCCGCCGCCGCAAGGUCGCCUCCCUCAAACCGAGGCUCUGAUGCCAAUUGUCAGGGAAUUUAGCCCCUGGAUCAAUCAAACGCACGAAAUCAACCAGAGGUUGUCGGAGGAUACAAAAUUGACGAAGGAGCAACGGCAGGAAACGGCUCCAACAAUUUCUUGUUCUCCAACACGGACCAUUCACAUUGAGAGACGUCGCGUGCCUAGUUUUCGGGUGCUGGUGCGCAUUCUUCCUAUCACAUUGAAGUCCGCUCAGUUACGACUCUUCUUUAGCAAGCAUGGCAAAGUGCUCAAUGCUGAGGUAAUCCACUGUAAGAAGACACAUGUCUCACAUGUUAUCGGCCAUGUGACCAUAGAGACGACGCAUGCCCAUCUGGAUGAUGCUCUCAUGGAUCUCGACAAGCUGAUUCUGGAAGGGCACAGUCUGAAGAACAAGCUUGUCCUAGCCGAAGACUACAGCCAAACAAACCAUCUAGGGAUGAGGCACACACGAGCACGCCGAGGACCUGCUUGCAACAAAGUGUGGAAAGUGAGCCCGGCCAACGCCCAAGUAGAAAGACAUUACACAUCCGCCGUCUUUCUCGCCGCAGAGGGACCCUUCCCUCUCGCCAUGGCUCGCAAGGCGCCGUACCCGGCGGACUUGAGAGACGCUCACCCUAGAGCAGGGGACGUGAUAGCUUCAGGACCUGGAGCAGCCGCAGCACAUCACCACUUGAACUUUCGAGCUCUCCGCGACUGCCGCCUCGCCACAACCUAG
Molecule: ribosomal RNA, 921 nt
Filed under: Triticum aestivum (bread wheat)
Lineage: Eukaryota; Viridiplantae; Streptophyta; Magnoliopsida; Poales; Poaceae
Description: partial small subunit ribosomal RNA
Source: RNAcentral